AUUACUUGCGAACGAUAAAGUAGCCAAAAACAAAACAAACAAAAAAAGAAAAAAAUCGAUCUGUUUGGCUGAUCCGGAUAGAAGACGUGCACGCGCUGCUCAUUCUCCAGAGUAUCGGUUGUGCAGAAAAACCCCAGAGCCGGAAGUAACACACAUUCAAAAUCUGAUUAAAUGCUGUCUUUUUACAAUAAGAUAUUAAUUGCUCGUGUUUUCCUGAUAGUUUACUCACCCCCAUGUCGAUUAGUCAGCUGAUCUUGGAUGACAUGGGGGUGUGUUUUCAUUUGAAAGUGAACUAAUCCUUUAAUAUUACCAUUGUUGAUUGCACCAGUAUUUGACAAGCAGCUUUUUGAGACAAACACUGAAGUCAAGCAUAAGGACGUUCGUUGUGACAGUGAGACCUUCAGGCAGGCAGACAGAGCCAUGAUCAGAGCUAGAGUUCCACAGUUCCACAGUCGGGCGACGCUCUCCUCCUCCUACGAUGGAAGAAGUCUUACAGCGGCUUACCAAGGUUAGCAUCCACCAGAAGCAAAUUAUGGAGCAUCUGGCUACACGCCAAGGGGAGGCAGAGCGCUUCCUGACCCCCGUGUGCAGGCCACCCGGUCACGGCCCAAGAUGACUGUACAUGACAUGACAUAGAGGCCUACUUCCAAAUGUUUGAGUGCACACUUGAAAACAAAGCCCAUGGAUUUUGAUUGCGUCUCUCGCAUAGUCUGACAAAGGAGUAUAAUUUAAAAAUUGUGCAGUCAACUGAUUGUGAAAUGGAACUUUAUGCUGAUUUAUCCUACCUCUAUCAUUCAGCACAAAUCCAAAUAUUUCAUAAUGUUUUCAUAUUUGCAAUACAACAAUAAAGCAGACUUGACUAUUUGAAUACAUUUUGUAAAUUAAAGGUACUGUACUUCAGUCACGUUCCAGCAGUGACAUAGAUGCUGGCUGGGUGACUAUUUUGUUUUGAAAAAGUAGCAACGCUGGAACUGAAGUAAGUGUGUGUG
This is a long non-coding RNA of Puntigrus tetrazona (Sumatra barb), 989 nucleotides long. RefSeq lists it as uncharacterized. The transcript is spliced from 3 exons. The record is from RefSeq and is a predicted model, not a curated record. Lineage: Eukaryota; Metazoa; Chordata; Actinopteri; Cypriniformes; Cyprinidae.